RNAcentral lists this ribosomal RNA (497 nucleotides) under uncultured bacterium. RNAcentral's name for it is "partial 16S ribosomal RNA". It matches the Rfam family "Bacterial small subunit ribosomal RNA", at positions 28 to 507 of the family's 1533-position model. The record is from RNAcentral.
GAUGAACGCUGGCGGCGUGCCUAAUACAUGCAAGUCGAGCGAACAGACGAGGAGCUUGCUCCUCUUACGUUAGCGGCGGACGGGUGAGUAACACGUGGAUAACCUACCUAUAAGACUGGGAUAACUUCGGGAAACCGGAGCUAAUACCGGAUAAUAUAUUGAACCGCAUGGUUCAAUAGUGAAAGACGGUUUUGCUGUCACUUAUAGAUGGAUCCGCGCGGCAGUAGCUAGUUGGUAAGGUAACGGCCUACCAAGACGACGAUGCGUAGCCGACCUGAGAGGGUGAGCGGGCACACUGGAACUGAGAAACGGUCCAGACUCCUAAGGGAGGCAGCAGUAGGGAAUAUUGCGCAAUGGGCGAAAGCCUGAUCGAGCCAUGCCGCGUGGGUGAAGAAGGUCUUCGGAUUGGAAAACACUUUUUGUGGGGAAGAAAAAAAGUAAGAGAAAACCUGGCUGUUUUGACGGGAACAAAAGAAAAAGGACCGGCUAACUUCGGG